This is a long non-coding RNA of Armigeres subalbatus, 3180 nucleotides long. RefSeq lists it as uncharacterized. NCBI's taxonomy places the organism in Eukaryota, Metazoa, Arthropoda, Insecta, Diptera, Culicidae. The transcript is spliced from 2 exons. The record is from RefSeq and is a predicted model, not a curated record.
CCGUGCGCAUAAACCAAUCUGUCUUACAGAGACGACGGGCAAGUUGCUAGAGAGGAUCAUCCUCAACAGGCUAACCCCGUACUCAGAGGGUAUGGACGCUAUUAACUCGGUGGUAAAGACCGCCGAGAUAGCGAUCCAACAGAAAAGGCGAGGUAUUUGAUACUGUGCGUUAGUGGCACUUGAUGCGAAGAACGCAUUCAACAGCGCAAGCUGGGAUACCAUCGCGCUCUCGUUACACCGGCUUAUAAGCCUGCCGGUCGGCCUGUACCGGAUUUCGGAAAGCUAUUUCCAGCAAGGUUCAAUACCGGUAUUAUGGAACCUUAUGUAUGACGGGGUUAUGCUAAAUAAAGCUAAAAUUCCCUUCUGGUGUUAAGAUCGUCGGCUUCGCCGAUGACGUAACCUUCGAAGUCUACGGAGAGUCAAUUCACUAGGUAGAACCUGGGAGGGAGCUCUCGAUACUACACAUCAAAUUAAUUAUAUACUGUCGUCAUGCAACAAGUAAAUUUUCAACAAGAAAGAACAAUCAACGUAGGCGCCACCUGAAAAGACUAAAUUCAUUUUUGCGUGUUAUUGUUGUUAUAUUGCCUUCAAAAAUUUGCUUGCCAAGAGUUUCGUUUUCGGCUCACACUGACAGCUAGAUUUCGGCUCGGCUUGACACACACAUUUUUCGUAUCUGUUUCUCCCUCCCAGGGUAGAACUUACCGCAGCACACGCGAUCAGCACGGUGGCGGAUUGGAUGAGUGCUAGAGGCCUGGAUCUCGCUCAAAAUAAGACGGCGGUGGUUAUCGUCAACAGCCACAAGUCGGUUCAACAUGCAGUGAUUCACGUGGGUGAUGUCGCGAUCGCAUCAAAUCUGAGUUUGAAGCUCCUUGGGGUCGUACUUAAUAGACGACAAGCUGACCUUCGCCAGCCAUGUCGACUAUGCGUGCAAGAGGGCUUCGACUGCUGUUGCGGCAUUAUCGAGGAUGAUGUCCAACAGUUCCAAGGUGUGUGCAGGAUGACCACUUAAUUCCCUUUUGAAAAUUCCCGAUAUUGUUUUUGUGCGGUAGGCAGAUACCACUCUGAGACACAGCAAGCGGUACGUGCUCUCCAGCUUCCGCAGGUAACUGGUUACCCCCAGAGCUCUCGCCCAGGACGGUCCACCGUACCUAAGAAGAGAUACGGCAACGCCUGCCAGCAUCGUCAUGAAGCAUCGUCAAUUGUAUCCCCUCUUUUAAUGACUGUCUGAUUGUUGAAUUUUGUUUAUUUGCCUUCUUGUUCAAGAUUGCGGAAACAUGCAUAUUGGAACUAUAACUAACCUAAGAUAUUCAUCAUUGGAAAUAAGUGGAAGACCAAAAAUAUGGCCCUAUUUAUGAAGAAUAUAUAGUUUUCAAAAUCUCCUAACUAAGCCACAAUAAGCAAAAUAUUUAUAUCCAGCUAGGUCCUAAAUUACCAAAUAAAAAAAAAACAAUUCAACGAAACAUUUACUUUUAAGAUUUAUAUGGAUACACAAAUCCUGUUACGUAGAUUUAUGUUAUUUUAGCUUUGGAAAAGCAAUAAACGUUUUAUUAACAAUGUUUUUGUGUUGUACAUAGAGUUCUGUUUUUACACGAUCCAUAGCUGUUUUAAAACUUUAAUUCUUAUCUGAAUUAGGAUAGAUUUUGAUAGUAAAAAGAAGUCACACGAUACAAAGUUCUUUAAAAAGGUAUUGUAAAGACAGAAGUCUGUGUAUUUCAAUUAAUACAAGAAUUUGAUUGAAUCCUCUUUUAACCUUCUAACCUACCGUAACUGAAAGUUUGUUCAAAGUUUUCUUGAUAACAAGUGUGGCUUUUUAAAUGAUGACGCGAGCAAAUCCAUUUCACCCAUUUUAGCAGUUACAUAGUUGGAAUUGAAAAAUAUUCCCCCAUCAACCUGUGUAAUUAUACCAUUUCGUUCACUUUCAGUAGUAACCUCAGGGCAGGACAUCCACAUCUACCUAUCACCUGGCCAGAAUAAAAUUAUUCACUCAUGGAUCAUGUCCUAGUGUUUCGCUUUCUCCAGUUCUGAUAUCGUUCUGGCUUUUCCUUCCGAAACCAUCCCAAUCAAGCAGUGCAGUGUAUAGUAGUGUGUGAGAGAGAAAGAAAGUGCUACGGCAGGAACGAACCGAUGAACUGAAGUUUGGUCAGCGUAUGGGGUUCCAAUUAUCUAAGUUACCGCAGCUUACACACUGGUGAUUAGCAUUAACAUUAGUUACCGCCCACGGAUAGUAGAUGAAACCGUGUGGUAUGCGGCAGUGGUUAGAAAACUUAUUUAUUUUGUAAAUAGAUUUGUUAAACUGCAGUUGAAAAAAAAAAUACAACUGGUAAAAGUUAAACCAUUGAGCUUUCACUAUUCCUGUAUGAAAUACAAAACAGAGGAACAUGAACCUUAUAAGCACUUGGAUAAAAUGACAAAUGUUUUGAAGAACGAAGGUUAGUCUAAUAUAAAUCAAAAAUUAAUUAAAUGUUGAAUACUUCGACGCUUUAUGUUAAGAACAAUUUAGUAACACAUGAUGUGCAAAAAAAAUGUUAGAUUAAAAUGCACUAUCAGAAAUAAAUAUAAAGCAAAGCUAAUUUUACAUACAAAAUCGUCAUAUAUGGAGAUAGGUAUAAUUAAUCACAUCAUUAUUCAGGACUUAAAAUAUCCUUAAUAAAGCAAAAAAUAUCUGGUGAAAUAUGAACUCAAUCGAAUCACUAUGAGUCAUACACCCUUGUUCUUGUUUACGGACAAACGAUACUUUCGAACGAAUGCGAUUCGUUCGAACUGUUUCCCCAUUUGAUUUUGCUGGCGUAAACGAGAAUGCGCUUCAACUUUCGUUUGAAAGCGUGUUCGUACGUAAACAAGAAUAUGGGUGAUAAUUUCAAUCCCCCAACAUGACUAUUUUGUAAGAAUAUUUAGCCUGUCUUCAUACUUAUUUCAACCAGUGUAUCUACCGGUAUUAGCUCCCUUUUUCGAACAAUACAAAAUUUCAAAUUUUCGGUCAUCAUCGAAUUUAGCAAACAAUUUAAACCCGACAACGACGGUGAAUCAUCUUUUAGACUAAUUCCUUCUCUAAAAAUUACGCUUAUUUUGAAUCCCAAAUCAUACCAUGAUUCAUGUUUAAAUAAAUCUGCUUCGUAUGGAAUUUUGGUUCAUCUUGUUUAUCACUAAAUAAGAAAACAAAAUAAAUUACCAGAAAGCUUC